UGACAUUCCUUUCUUCCUUCAAUGGUGGU
This 29-nucleotide non-coding RNA is filed under the name Mus musculus (house mouse). Lineage: Eukaryota; Metazoa; Chordata; Mammalia; Rodentia; Muridae. The record is from RNAcentral.